Molecule: long non-coding RNA, 647 nt
Organism: Salvelinus fontinalis (brook trout)
Lineage: Eukaryota; Metazoa; Chordata; Actinopteri; Salmoniformes; Salmonidae
Exons: 9
Source: RefSeq, a predicted model, not a curated record
GAUAUCAUCAUUACUAUAACAGGUCAGUGAGGUAUCAUUACUAUAACAGGUCAGUGAGGUAUCAUUAUUAUAACAGGUCAGUGAGAUAUCAUUACUAUAACAGGUCAGUGAGGUAUCAUUACUAUAACAGGUCAGUGAGGUAUCAUUAUUAUAACAGGUCAGUGAGAUAUCAUUAUUAUAACAGGUCAGUGAGAUAUCAUCAUUACUAUAACAGGUCAGUGAGAUAUCAUUAUUAUAACAGGUCAGUGAGAUAUCAUUAUUAUAACAGGUCAGUGAGGUAUCAUUACUAUAACAGGUCAGUGAGAUAUCAUUACUAUAACAGGUCAGUGAGGUAUCAUUACUAUAACAGGUCAGUGAUAUAUCAUUAUUAUAACAGGUCAGUGAGGUAUCAUUACUAUAACAGGUCAGUGAGAUAUCAUCAUUACUAUAACAGGUCAGUGAGAUAUCAUUACUAUAACAGGUCAGUGAGAUAUCAUCAUUACUAUAACAGGUCAGUGAGGUAUCAUUAUUAUAACAGGUCAGUGAGAUAUCAUUACUAUAACAGGUCAGUGAGAUAUCAUUACUAUAACAGGUCAGUGAGAUAUCAUUAUUAUAACAGGUCAGUGAGGUAUCAUUAUUAUAACAGGUCAGUGAGGUAUCAUUACUAU